Molecule: long non-coding RNA, 99 nt
Organism: Cebus imitator (Panamanian white-faced capuchin)
Lineage: Eukaryota; Metazoa; Chordata; Mammalia; Primates; Cebidae
Exons: 2
Source: RefSeq, a predicted model, not a curated record
UGAGGCAGGAGAAUCGCUUGAACCCAGGAGACAGUGGUUGCAGUGAGCCCAGAUUGCGCCACUGCACUUCAGCCUUGGCGGCUGAACAAGACUCCAUCU